Long non-coding RNA from Rhea pennata, 306 nucleotides. RefSeq lists it as uncharacterized. NCBI's taxonomy places the organism in Eukaryota, Metazoa, Chordata, Aves, Rheiformes, Rheidae. The record is from RefSeq and is a predicted model, not a curated record. The transcript is spliced from 2 exons.
ACUAUCAACGGUCUGUGGGGGAGACGAAUUAGCGCUUGCGGCGUUUCAGAGCUGAAUCCUAUCCCCGAAGGAAAAAGCAGAAGGGGCAGGCCGUCGGCUACGCAGACGCCUGCCGCCUCGGGGGCUGCGGCGGGAGCUGACCCUUCCCCGACGGACGGGCAGACGGUCGGAGAGACGGAUGCUGGUGUGGCGAUGACUCUUCAGGUGUCACGGGGUAAGGGGAAGCGUGCCGGCACCGAGCUCCGUGGCAGGCUCGCUCCCAGGUGGUGUUCCUGCCCAGUAAAACAAUAAACAGCCGCUUUAUUC